This is a long non-coding RNA of Austrofundulus limnaeus, 1241 nucleotides long. RefSeq lists it as uncharacterized. The record is from RefSeq and is a predicted model, not a curated record. The transcript has 2 exons. Lineage: Eukaryota; Metazoa; Chordata; Actinopteri; Cyprinodontiformes; Rivulidae.
GCAUUUUUCAAAUUUGCGUUGGGGGUGGAGUUAUCCUUUCACAGGUGGGGUAAGUUACACUUUAAAUUUUAUCACCUGGAGGAGAUGAAUGCUUUGAAUGCAACACACGCACAAACAAGUGAGAAGGAUGAGUGUGAAUAUCGGAUUAUGUAAAAGACUGAAAAGUUGUUGUGAAGCAGGCCUUCCUGGAACUCACUUGGCGCAAGAUCAAAGAAUCUCUCAGGGAGAUUUCAGCACCUAGAUGAAAUUGAAUGGCCGAUUAUAGUGAGAUUUCUCCCCAGUAUCGAGUAGAAGAUGACAGCACACUGUCAUCGAAGCAAGUGGAAAUAAUGAGACAGUGGAAAACACAGGAAUCUUUCUGUAAAAAUGAUUCACACCACUGAAAGAAAUUUGUGAGUCAGCCCAAAAUUGAGUUCAGAAAAGCCGGUUUUCCACCUACGUGGUUUGGUUUGGCUCCACCCCACUCUGCACCCGUUUUGUGAAUUUCCACUGCGGCUCCUGCCCGCUUUCGGCCCACUUUUUCGAACCUCCUCUCGAGGUAGUACUGAGGCCGACACCAUUUGGGGAGUGAAGGUGCCGAAGUGUGUAGCAAUAGCGAUUGGCCAGUGGAGCUACAUGAACCGCCCUGGAUGACAUUAACAAAUGYGCGAAGAUCCAAAGCGAGCUGAUUUACUGAGAUUUUCCAAAUGAUGGCGGCGCGCCGGGAGAAAUUAAAAAUAUUAAGCCAGUUUUCAGAGCAGUGAAGGACCGCAAUGGCCCGAGUUGCUCAAAGCAGUGGGAUUAGAGCUGGUUUGGGUAAAUGGAGACGAUCUCUCUCUACAGCCACCGGUCUGGCUGCUGCUAACUGUAGACUGGACUGUUCACAAACUUCAGACAUCUGCAGACGCAUGAGAGCAGUUCCCCCAACCUGCAACUGGAGAACAACUGAACCCCUCUUCCUCUCCACCUGGGGACACCAAACUCUCAUCUGAGAAUGAGAACAUAAAACCUACUCCCAGAAGGACAAGAAUGGAGAUUACAUUGAGGAUCAUGGAACGAGAAGAAAUCCACACAAAUCUGAAGCAACUCUGAGCAGCGGAGAAAAUACAAGAUUGGAAAAGGUUUAUUCACAGUUAUGAUGAAGAGUAUUUUUAUUUCUGGGAGGAAUGAAAAAUUGAAUUUCUGGGGUUGAGAAAUGUUUAGAAAUAUCCUGUUGUAAUGAACAGAUGUUGGAAACUUUAUAAAUAAAGGUUUUCAUAUUA